This 497-nucleotide ribosomal RNA is filed under the name uncultured bacterium. RNAcentral describes it as "partial 16S ribosomal RNA". It matches the Rfam family "Bacterial small subunit ribosomal RNA", at positions 28 to 507 of the family's 1533-position model. The record is from RNAcentral.
GACGAACGCUGGCGGCGUGCCUAAUACAUGCAAGUUGGGCGCUGAAGGUUGGUACUUGUACCAACUGGAUGAGCAGCGAACGGGUGAGUAACGCGUGGGGAAUCUGCCUUUGAGCGGGGGACAACAUUUGGAAACGAAUGCUAAUACCGCACAAAAACUUUAAACACAAGUUUUAAGUUUGAAAGAUGCAAUUGCAUCACUCAAAGAUGAUCCCGCGUUGUAUUAGCUAGUUGGUGAGGUAAAGGCUCACCAAGGCGAUGAUACAUAGCCGACCUGAGAGGGUGAUCGGCCACAUUGGGACUGAGACACGGCCCAAACUCCUACGGGAGGCAGCAGUAGGGAAUCUUCGGCAAUGGACGAAAGUCUGACCGAGCAACGCCGCGUGAGUGAAGAAGGUUUUCGGAUCGUAAAACUCUGUUGGUAGAGAAGAACGUUGGUGAGAGUGGAAAGCUCAUCAAGUGACGGUAACUACCCAGAAAGGGACGGCUAACUACGUG